UAAAUGCCUACCAAUGCAACGAAGCAAAGCCGACCAGAGAGGGUGAUCGGCCACACAGGGACUGAGACACGGCCCAGACUCCUACGGGAGGCAGCAGAAGGGAAUCUUCCGCAAAGGACGAAAGUCAGACGGAGCAACGCCGCGUGUAAGAAGAAGGUUUUCGGAUCGUAAAGUACAGUUGUUAGAGAAGAACAAGGAUAAGAGAAACUGCUAGUCCCUUGACGGUAUCUAACCAGA
RNAcentral lists this ribosomal RNA (237 nucleotides) under Listeria monocytogenes. Its description in RNAcentral is "partial 16S ribosomal RNA". It matches the Rfam family "Bacterial small subunit ribosomal RNA", at positions 258 to 487 of the family's 1533-position model. Lineage: Bacteria; Bacillati; Bacillota; Bacilli; Caryophanales; Listeriaceae. The record is from RNAcentral.